CCCCAAAACUGUGCCAUUAACAAGCUUUCUUACACCCAGAAAUGCAUUAUUUUAUGUGUUUUUCAAAAUAUUUUGUGUUACUAUCCAAACAUAUGAACUUUAAUAUUUCUUUUUUAAAAAUUAUACUUUUUUUUUUUACCCAAAUUAUUAGGCUUAAUAUGAUAGUAGCAUGAAUUCUGUACACAUGUCACACUAACACUAACUUUUAUCAUGUUUGAACAUCUCAUGCUGAUCUCAGCAGAUUAGCUCACACAGAGUAGAGACUACACUGACAGUGCGCCGCCUUGUGGUUCAAAGUGGUAUUACAGAAGAGUACAGGCCAGCCCCAUUUACUCUUCAGCUGAUAUCAUGUUUGCAACACACAGACAUCAUCGCUACAAUAAGAUCCUUUCAACAUUCACAGAAAUAACAACAGCAUAUUAGGGGUACUUUAAAAAAAACAGAGUGAAUUCACAAAAAGAGCAUUUCAAAAGAAUAAAAGUGGUACAGAAGCGAUACGACGUUUUGUUACACACACUUUUAGUGGGUUACUACGUCAAAACAGCCUCUAAAUUCAGAUUUUUAAAUGUACAUGUGUGCUAAAAACAACAACAACAAAACAUUCCUAGCAAGGGUCAGAACUAAGCAAUCAAACUCAAGAACUAACACUAGGUGCGUUAUACCUGACUAAAGACCUCCUGCUGAAAAGCUGCCACUUUUCUGGUUUAGGGACUUGAUGCACUCUUGUGGUGUGACUCUAUAGAAUUUGUCAUGAAUGAAGAUGCUAAAAGGAGUCGCAUUUACUUCCAAACCUUAAAAGCAGUUGUUUGAAAUCCUCACAAGCAGAAGUAUUAAAACUUGGUCUAAAGACCUGACAAUUCAAAGUCUGCCAUUAAAUAAAAAUAAUAAAAAGAGCUACAGAGUGAUGCCACCAUACAAAGGAGUCUUAGUUUGAAGACUAAAACUAGAAUAUAAUCUGCUUUCAGGAGUCCUCCUCACACAGAGAGGAACUGUUACAGAGAACAUCUUCAGUGAAUGAUCUCAUGAUCACUGUAACGCAAUGUCUCCCAAUACAGGAUUUUCCCCCGGCAAACGGUAAUCCCAACUCAUCUGGUGAUUUGAUGAAGUUUAUUAAUUAAUUAGCCCAUCUCUGUUCUAAAAAGAAACCCUCACACCGCUCUGAUGUAAAAUCUCUGCAUAUACAGUUACUAACAUACAGGUUUUACUUGUCUUGUUGCCAUGUUAGGUUGCAUUUUAUUCCCAUGAUUUUGUGCACACAGAACUGGAUUGAAACUUCACAAGUAUGUGUUAGAGAUUUGUUAUACUGGAUUGCGUAGCGUGUGGCUGCUUUGUCCACUCCUUUUCUUUGUUGGGUUUUUUUUCUAACAAAUUAAAUCAUCUGCCAGCAUUCCUCCAGCUUUGAUAAUUAAACUGGUUUAUUCCCUUUUUUGGCUUGAGGCAAUCCUAAUGAUUCUCCUCGUAUAACACCAAAGCACCACCUCCACACAGAAAAAACGUGCAAGCCAAGUUUGAACUUCUCAACUGCAAAUCAGCUACAAUUUUUAUCAUUGCUGUUUAUUUUUCAGAUGCACUUUUCUACUAUUUCAGGCAUCCAGUCUUACCCCUUAGUUUCCUAAAUUGCAAAUGCAUCAAAAUUAAUGGGGAGGAUGUCAAAGGCUAAUUGAUUUUCUCAUAUUCAAUGAAACGAUAAGUCAUGUGUCUGAUUUACAUUAUAUUAUUUUUAGAAUAUCUUGUAGAAGAUGCAGUCUUUCAUUUGGGCUUGUUGUUUAUUAACCAGUAAAAUUUACUGCAACAACUAACCUGUUUCACAGUCUACAGCUACUUGAUGUAGAUUAGAUGGUUUUACAGGAAAGCAGCAUCAUACCAGCAGUUUUGCAUGGAUAGGAAUGCAUUAGAUGCCUGGAAUAGUAGGAAAAAUACAAUAUUAUCAUAGAGAAAUAAUCUUUUUUUAGUGCUAAUAAGAUAUUGAUUUGCUGCCACACUGUAGAGUUAGAAUUGUUUGUGGAUCAAGCGAAACAUGUCGUGCUUCAUAAAAGGACUUCAGCAUAAAUCAAAGAUCCUGUUCUGACUUCUCCAAAAAGAAAAAUACUAAAUGCGGAUGCUGUGUUUGUAGUAUAUAUUGUACUCUAACUGAAAAGGCUAUCUGAAGUUGCAAUGCAGGAGGCAAACAUCAGCUGGGGAGCAGUUUAAUUCUCCCUUAUUAGUAAAGCUAUGUAAGAAGUGUAUAAUCUGUUUGGUUAUUUUGUUGUUUUUUAACUGCUCGGUUGUUUCUGCAGUGUGUGUUUGUAUAUUUUAUCUAAAGUUGAAGCUUUUAAUUGUUGGUGAAAGAAUUUCCUCUAACCAGCAUUGUUAAAUAUAUCUAUUAGUAUACAGUAUAGAGUAAAAAGGUAUAAUUAACCCUCCCCCACAGUCAACGUUUUGUGAUGUUUCCUAAAAUUUAAGUACCAAACUUACUGAGCGGCUUACUGCUCGUACACAUAGUGCAACACACUACCUAGCCUAAUAUUUAUCUGAGGAUGCAUGACACUUGCUAUGUAUGUUACAUAUAAUGACUUUUGUUAUCCUAUUUACAGAAAGUUUGGAUGCAGUCAGACUUAUUUUAUACCUUUUUAUGCAUGCGAUUUAUAUAAAUGUUCUUUGUAAUCAUUUUAAAGGAGUUUCUGUUUAACAAACUUUUAUGUACCCCUAAAUAAAAACAUUGUUUCUUGUGAUGUGC
This is a long non-coding RNA of Astatotilapia calliptera (eastern happy), 2716 nucleotides long. NCBI's taxonomy places the organism in Eukaryota, Metazoa, Chordata, Actinopteri, Cichliformes, Cichlidae. The record is from Ensembl.